AAACCAGCACCUCAAGUGGUCAGGAGGUUUAUUGGGCCUAAAGCAUCCGUAGCCUGAUCUAUAAGUUUCCGGUUAAAUCCACAUGCUCAACAUUUGGGCUGCCGGAAAAACUGUAGAUCUAGGGAGUGGGAGAGGUAGACGGUACUCGGUAGGAAGGGGUAAAAUCCUUUGAUCUAUUGAUGACCACCAGUGGCGAAGGCGGUCUACCAGAACACGUUCGACGGUGAGGGAUGAAAGCUGGGGGAGCAAACCGGAUUAGAAACCCGAGUAGUCC
Molecule: ribosomal RNA, 274 nt
Filed under: uncultured bacterium
Lineage: Bacteria
Description: partial 16S ribosomal RNA
Rfam family: Archaeal small subunit ribosomal RNA
Source: RNAcentral